RNAcentral lists this small RNA (737 nucleotides) under Pan troglodytes (chimpanzee). RNAcentral describes it as "retained intron". The record is from RNAcentral. Lineage: Eukaryota; Metazoa; Chordata; Mammalia; Primates; Hominidae.
CUGAGCCUCUCCUGUGGGGAGAUGAGCGUCUUUCUCCUGGGACCGAAGGAGGGAACAAGACGGAGAAGGAAGAGGCGGGGCUGCGACUGUGCCCAGCGUGCUGCCGGGUCCCUGCUCUGGGUACUUCUCUGCUUUCGGGCGUCUCGUCUAGAAGCUGCAGCUUGGCCUGUCUCACCUCUACACAGAGGGGCUGCUGGCGCCUGACGGAAAAAGGUCCACACACCAGAUGGCCGGCCCGGGGUGGACGCUGCUGCUACUGCUGCUGCUGCUGCUGCUGCUGGGGUCCAUGGCAGGGUAUGGGCCGCAGAAGAAGUUGAACCUGUCCCAUAAGCCCCGGGCCCCCAGCACUGACCUGCCAGAACCACGGCAGUCUGGGUUUGUUCCAGAAACUUCUCAGGGAACCCAAGUUUGAAGGAUGGUGACACAGGGGAGCCAAGGAGAGGGCAGGCCUUUCCUGAGUGCUGAGUCUGCAGGCCCUGCCCAGGAACAGGUGAGCGAGCUGGUGAGUGGCGUUUCAGGGCAUCGGGGAGCCAUGCGGGAGACACGAGGAGUGCCAGAGCAACUGCUGUACCAUCAACAGCCUGGCCCCACACACGCUCUGCACCCCUAAGACCAUCUUCCUGCAGUGCCUGCCCUGGAGGAAGGUGAGGUGCAUGCGGGGGGCGGGGGUGGAGGGGCGAGACUGCCUGUGGCCCCCUCCUACCUGCCCCUGAAGAGCCAGGGAGUGGAUGGUGGGU